Molecule: unclassified non-coding RNA, 376 nt
Filed under: soil metagenome
Description: partial contains 5.8S ribosomal RNA, internal transcribed spacer 2, and large subunit ribosomal RNA
Rfam family: 5.8S ribosomal RNA (bases 1-120)
Source: RNAcentral
GAUGAAGAACGCAGCGAAAUGCGAUAAGUAAUGUGAAUUGCAGAAUUCAGUGAAUCAUCGAAUCUUUGAACGCAUCUUGCGCUCCUUGGUAUUCUGAGGAGCAUGCCUGUUUGAGUGUCAUUAAAUUCUCAACUACACUGACUUUGAAUUGGUGUGGCUUGGAUUUGGGGGGAAAAUUGUUGUGGGCUUUUUGUAUAGUCUGCUCCCCUGAAAUUGAUUAGCGGUACCUUUGUGGAACUGUCUACAGGUGUGAUAAUUAUCUACAUCUUAGACAUCUGCUGGAAUGCUGCUUUCUAAACCUUAAUUGUAUUGACAAUCUUGACCUCAAAUCAGGUAGGACUACCCGCUGAACUUAAGCAUAUCAAUAAGCGGAGGA